CCCAGCCCAUAAAUACAAUUUUUUAAAGUUGCUGAGACAGUCUCACUAUGUUGCCCAGGCUAGUCUCAAACUCCAGACUGAAGUGAUCACUCCUUCCGGACUGAGGUACUCCUCCCAAGUACCUGGGACUACAGCUGUGGAUCUGGUACAGAGAGUGCUGCCAGGGGAAG
Long non-coding RNA from Octodon degus (degu), 170 nucleotides. RefSeq lists it as uncharacterized. Lineage: Eukaryota; Metazoa; Chordata; Mammalia; Rodentia; Octodontidae. The transcript is spliced from 3 exons. The record is from RefSeq and is a predicted model, not a curated record.